CCAUGUCCAUCUUUCUCUUCUCCUCCUUCAUCUCUGCCAGCAUGUCGCCCACCUCCUGUUUGCCCGUUAACCUCCUCAGGCCUGCAGGAAGGACGAAGUGAGAAGCGUACUAUAAAUAAAGCAUUAAUCAAAGAUUAAAUCCAGUCUGCAGCACUCCAGCCCCCUUCACCUCUCUUGGCGUGGUGCUCCUGGCAGCGGACGAUGUAGAGAAAACGGGGGCUCUCAGGGCAGAACGGCAGAAGAGCCAUCUGAAGGACAGUUGGCACGACUGUUAAACCCAUCAGGACAGGCCACAAGUCCUCACCGCCCAGUAACACCUCCAGACCCAGGACCUGCACCAGGAGACGGACCCAAACAUAUACUAGAGACAAAGAGACUAAUGGAUGAAAAGUGGAAUGAAGCUUCUAGGGCUAUAAUGAAGAGGAGAAGGUGCUUUUGAGAGACUGAAGGUUACUGAAACUGUUGCCUGGAUGUUUACCACUGAGGAGAUCCACUAAAACUUUCACCUCUAGAGAGCAGUGUCAUACCAAAAACAUUGACCACUCAGAGACGAAGCCCACGCAGAAGGAGGACAGCAUGCCACCAAUGGAGAAGAUAGCGACAGACAGAGACCAGAGGGAGGCGGCUGGCACCUGUCUAUAGGGUGACUGACGGGACGACCUUGGGGAGAUGAGGUCUUCCCCCCGACAAAGUGUCUAUUAGCCUGACAGAACAGUCUCACACACUACAACUGAAACGUUAGUUAGCAGCUCAAUGCUAAAGACUUAAGUCUAAAGCAGACAAAAAAUUGUGAAUUUUAUAAUGAGCUGUUAAAGUCCUGAGACCUGCUUGAUAAAAGCGAUCAUAAUUACUCAUAACAUUACCCCAAACUUUGACUUUUUGGUGAUGUUUGCUUUUGUGGAUGUAAUGCUUUAAUGUGUGGGAAAACACUUAUUAUCCUGCUUACCUUUUAAAUGUUCACAACUUUAUUAUAACUUAAUAUUGAGAUAAUUAAAAUUGA
Long non-coding RNA from Labrus mixtus (cuckoo wrasse), 1000 nucleotides. RefSeq lists it as uncharacterized. Lineage: Eukaryota; Metazoa; Chordata; Actinopteri; Labriformes; Labridae. The transcript has 6 exons. The record is from RefSeq and is a predicted model, not a curated record.